Molecule: long non-coding RNA, 806 nt
Organism: Xiphophorus couchianus (Monterrey platyfish)
Lineage: Eukaryota; Metazoa; Chordata; Actinopteri; Cyprinodontiformes; Poeciliidae
Exons: 5
Source: RefSeq, a predicted model, not a curated record
ACAAUCAGUAAUAAUACAGGCAGUGGUUUCUGGAUGUAAGCCAACAACAAAACACUUGUCUUUUCUAGAAGCCAUUGUGCAGCGCAUACAGCAGUAAAACCAGCUGACCAAACAUGCUGGAUCUCAGCUUGGGUUGCUAGGUGACAGCACAAUGCUAGUCAAUUGUAACUUUUUGAAACAGCUAAUUUUACACACCAAAAACGUUUGAAUAGGUUUUUUUUUUAAGUGGUUGGGCUGUUUUUAGAAGCAGCUGAGACCUAAAUCUCGGGUGAAUGGGGUCCACCCGGCACUCCUUCUCUGCCAGCUUUCGCUCUUUGUCCAUGUAUGCACCUCGUACCAGUUUGACUCCCAAACAGAAACCUUCAGCCUGUGACAGAUGGAGAGCCUCCAACAGCAGAGGCCUGGAGUCCUGGUUGACAGAUGAGACACUUGUCACAUACAGUCAGUUAGAAGAGGAACAAACAUUGAGCUGACCAGCUGGCAUUAGUAAAAAAUAUAGAGGUUAACACUUUUUUCAGUGAGCUAUUGGAAUUAAAGGUCUACCCAGUGCUCUCUCCAAGGUCUUCCUCAAUCGGAACCGCCAACAUGGGCCUCAGUCCCAGCAAGCUGAUCUUUCCCAUGGACUGGGCGAUCUCCGUCUCGUUUUCUCCGGCCACAAACUGGGCGUAGACGGUGGGCCGCAGCAGCAAAGAGAACCCUCUCCUCCCCAGGAUGGCUCAGCCACAAUUCCUUGGAAAUAUGUUUUAGAAAAACAUGGAAGAAAGAUGCCGUUUUGAUUUUGAUGAUGCUGUAUACAUAUAAAAAAU